UGGGGGAUAUUGCACAAUGGGGGAAACCCUGAUGCAACGACGCCGCGUGAGUGAAGAAGUAUUUCGGUAUGUAAAGCUCUAUCAGCAGGGAAGAAGAUGACAGUACCUGACUAAGAAGCCCCGGCUAACUACGUGCC
Molecule: ribosomal RNA, 137 nt
Filed under: uncultured bacterium
Lineage: Bacteria
Description: partial 16S ribosomal RNA
Rfam family: Bacterial small subunit ribosomal RNA
Source: RNAcentral